RNAcentral lists this ribosomal RNA (651 nucleotides) under uncultured bacterium. RNAcentral's name for it is "bacterial SSU rRNA". It matches the Rfam family "Bacterial small subunit ribosomal RNA", at positions 28 to 684 of the family's 1533-position model. The record is from RNAcentral.
AUUGAACGCUGGCGGCAUGCCUAACACAUGCAAGUCGAACGGGGGCAGCGAUGCUCUAGUGGCGGACGGGUGAGGAAUGCGUAGGAAUCGGCCCACGAGUGGGGGACAACCUGGGGAAACUCAGGCUAAUACCGCAUGAGCUCGUAAGAGGAGAGCGGGGGAUCUUCGGACCUCGCGCUGGUGGACGAGCCUACGUCCGAUUAGCUGGUUGGUGAGGUAAAGGCUCACCAAGGCGACGAUCGGUAGCGGGUCUGAGAGGACGACCCGCCACACUGGGACUGAGACACGGCCCAGACUCCUACGGGAGGCAGCAGUGGGGAAUAUUGGACAAUGGGCGCAAGCCUGAUCCAGCAAUGCCGCGUGGGUGAAGACGGCCUGCGGGUUGUAAAGCCCUUUAGGCGGGGAGGAACGACCGGACGCUAACAUCGUCUGGAAGAGACGUUACCCGCAGAAUAAGCACCGGCUAGCUCCGUGCCAGCAGCCGCGGUAAUACGGAGGGUGCGAGCGUUAAUCGGAAUUACUGGGCGUAAAGCGUGCGUAGGCGGUGGGGUCAGUCAGCCGUGAAAGCCCUGGGCUUAACCUGGGAACGGCGGUUGAGACGGCCCGACUUGAGUGGGCUAGAGGAUCGUGGAAUUCCGGGUGUAGCGGUGA